UGCGGAUUAAUGUAAAGUAACAUAAUUGGCUCAUGACCAAUAAAUAAAGGUGCAAGUCCUUUGUCCGCAU
Erysiphe necator (grape powdery mildew) is the source of this 70-nucleotide transfer RNA. It matches the Rfam family "tRNA". Rfam says of the family: Transfer RNA (tRNA) molecules are approximately 80 nucleotides in length. Their secondary structure includes four short double-helical elements and three loops (D, anti-codon, and T loops). Further hydrogen bonds mediate the characteristic L-shaped molecular structure. tRNAs have two regions of fundamental functional importance: the anti-codon, which is responsible for specific mRNA codon recognition, and the 3' end, to which the tRNAs corresponding amino acid is attached (by aminoacyl-tRNA synthetases). tRNAs cope with the degeneracy of the genetic code in two manners: having more than one tRNA (with a specific anti-codon) for a particular amino acid; and 'wobble' base-pairing, i.e. permitting non-standard base-pairing at the 3rd anti-codon position. The record is from Rfam. Lineage: Eukaryota; Fungi; Ascomycota; Leotiomycetes; Helotiales; Erysiphaceae.